Molecule: non-coding RNA, 72 nt
Organism: Phrynosoma platyrhinos (Desert horned lizard)
Lineage: Eukaryota; Metazoa; Chordata; Lepidosauria; Squamata; Phrynosomatidae
Source: the annotation of a GenBank genome assembly
GCCCGUGUGGUGUAGUGGUUUGAGUGUUAAACUGUGACUCUGGAGACCAGGGUUCAAUUCCCAGCUUGGCCA